AAUUUUAUAAAGACAAAAAAUAUAUUUAACUCAAAAUUAUAAGAUAUAAAAUCACAAUAAUUUAUUUAGAAGCACCCAACACAAAAGUGUGUAAAUUAAUAGGUGUCAUUAGCAACUCACAUAUGCAUAGGGAGGGGGUUGGAGCCCCUGCUUGCCCCGCGGGUCCGUCCCUGAAUAUAUACACAUAAAAUAUAAAUGUCAAUUAUCUUUAAAAGAAUCCAUGGGACCAGACAUUAGCAAGAUCCUUAGUUUAACACCCCGUUCUAAUGUUGAAGAAUUCUUCUUUUCGGUGAUGAUUUCCAUUGGCACAUGUUCACAAAAGUUUAUGCAAUAUAAUAAGAUUUGUCCCUUGGGUUUUCAAACAUUUCAUUUUGAGCAAUUAAUAAAGUAUGUCAUCUCAAUUUUGGGAAAAUUAAUUAAAUGCUCUUAAUCUCAUUUUUCACUUCCAAGAAUAUGUUCCCAUGAACUGGAUUUACCAUAUCCUAAGAUCUAGUUUACGAAAGUUCGUGAGGUUUUUGGGCCAAUAAAAAUAAGAAAGUCCAAAAAGAUAAUUUUUUUUUGGCUUAAAUACAGUUUUACUCCAUCUCUUUUGAUUAAAUCGGAAUUUUACUCCAUAUUUUAAAACGCGGACUUUUACCCCCCUGUUUUAUAAUUUUUUGGAUUUUACCCCCCUAAAAUUCUGCUUUCGAGUCACAACUUAAAAGCUUCCAACACAACUCAAUUUGGAUCAAUAAUUCACCAAACGUAUACUGAAAUGACCGUAACCGAGUUAUCUUUCCACAGAAUCAAACCCCACUAAAUUUGGAGUAACAAAGAGAGAUUAAUUACCGUUUUAGUGAAGAUAUGUCCCCCAAAUUCUGAACAAAAUCUGCUUUCGAGUCACAACUUCAAAAGUCAUUGCCUUGGUUCUGUGGUUAUUGUGCCAUGUGAUUGUGCUUAUCCCAUUUUAAUGGGCCUUCAUGUGUGUUAGGCUUUCGGAUGAUCUGGAACACUUUAUUUAAGUUAUUUAUGGUUUAUCCUCAUCUUCAAUAUGUUGAUUUUAGUUAUAUAUUUUGAAAAGGAACUUAAACUUCUUUUUCUAUUCAUUUUAAGAAAUAAAACAUUUUAAAAUCAAUCAACACAAUUCAACUCCUCCCUUCUCCCUCCCUCCUGAUAAAGAACUUAAUUUCGUUAUUUUAAAAAAGAAAGAAAUCAAAGAUUUUAAAAUCGAUCAGCACUAUUCAACCCUCACCCUCCACUUUGUUGUGUUUCCUCCGCUCACCUUCAUUUAUAUAUUUAUGGGGCUAGCUUAGUGUAACNNN
Molecule: long non-coding RNA, 1301 nt
Filed under: Trifolium pratense (red clover)
Lineage: Eukaryota; Viridiplantae; Streptophyta; Magnoliopsida; Fabales; Fabaceae
Description: long non-coding RNA (TPRA_LNC006580)
Source: RNAcentral